GAGAGUCGUAAUGGACUCGGCAUACUGCUCAGUAACACGUGGAUAACCUGCCCUGUUCUAGGGGAUAACCUCGAGAAAUUGAGAAUAAUACCCUAUAUUCCACUACGCCUGGAACGGUGAGUGGAUCAAAGCUCCGGCGGAACAGGAUGGGUCUGCGGCAUAUCAGGUAGUAGUGGGUGUAAUGGACCCACUAGCCUUCGACGUGUACGGGUUGUGGGAGCAAUCGCCCGGAGAUGGAUUCUGAGACACGAAUCCAGACCCUACGGGGUGCAGCAGGCGCGAAAACUUCACACUGCGGGAAACCGCGAUGAGGGAAUUCCAAGUGUCUGGGGUAAGACCCAGUCUUUUCUAGACUCUUAAUAGGUCUUGGAAUAAGGGGGGGGUAAGACCGGUGCCAGCCGCCGCGGUAAUACCGGCCCCCCAAGUGGUCGUCACUUUUAUUGGGCCUAAAACGUCCGUAGCCUGUUUAGUAAACCCGUGGGUAAAUCAACCAGCUUAACUGGUUGAAUUCUGCGGAGACUGCUAGACUAGGGACCGGGAGAGGUACGAGGUACUCUUGGGGUAGGGGUAAAAUCCUGUCAUCCCAGGGGGACCACUUGUUGCGAAGGCGUCGUACUAGAACGGAUCCGACGGUCAGGGACGAAGCCUAGGGGCACGAACCGGAUUAGAUACCCGGGUAGUCCUAGGU
This 688-nucleotide ribosomal RNA is filed under the name uncultured marine archaeon. Its description in RNAcentral is "bacterial SSU rRNA". It matches the Rfam family "Archaeal small subunit ribosomal RNA", at positions 60 to 752 of the family's 1478-position model. The record is from RNAcentral.